CCCGCCAGGGACCGGUGCCCGGGGCCAGAGGGAGGCGCGUCCCAGCCGCGACCCCCGGAGCAUGUUCCGCAGGCUCCCGGCGCGCACGACAGGAUGGAGCAGCCAGCGGGGGGGCCGGCCUCCCCCCCCACGAGGAUUCUGUGCCAAAGGCCCAGGGAGGGGGCGCUGUGGGGUGCCCUUGCCAUCCUGUCACUGCUGAGCGGUGUGGCCAAGGGAACCCCGCACACCUGGCACCGCAACACGACCCUGGAGGCUGCACCCACUGCGGGCGGCAUGGGCACUGCCAGCCCUGGAGCAGAGGACAG
Non-coding RNA from Chelonoidis abingdonii (Abingdon island giant tortoise), 305 nucleotides. NCBI's taxonomy places the organism in Eukaryota, Metazoa, Chordata, Testudines, Testudinidae. The record is from RefSeq and is a predicted model, not a curated record.